RNA transcript from Myotis brandtii (Brandt's bat), 296 nucleotides. It is a transcript of the gene named 60S ribosomal protein L37 pseudogene, with no coding region annotated. The transcript has a single exon. NCBI's taxonomy places the organism in Eukaryota, Metazoa, Chordata, Mammalia, Chiroptera, Vespertilionidae. The record is from RefSeq and is a predicted model, not a curated record.
UCUUUGGUCUCGGCGGCAGAAGCAAGAUGACGAAGGGGACGUCCUCGUUCGGCAAGCGCCGCAACAAGACGCACACGCUGUGCCGCCGCUGCGGCUCCAAGGCCUACCACCUGCAGAAGUCCACCUGCGGCAAGUGUGGCUACCCUGCCAAGCGCAAGAGGAAGUAUAACUGGAGUGCCAAGGCCAAGCGACGGAACACCACCGGGACGGGUCGCAUGCGGCACCUGAAAAUCGUGUACCACAGGUUCAGGCAUGGAUUCCGUGAAGGAACAACUUAUAUAAAAAUCAACCAGUGA